UCUCCGUUGGUGGACCAGCGGAGGGAUCAUUACCGAGUUUACAACUCCCAAACCCAAUGUGAACCAUACCAAACUGUUGCCUCGGCGGGGUCACGCCCCGGGUGCGUCGCAGCCCCGGAACCAGGCGCCCGCCGGAGGGACCAACCAAACUCUUUCUGUAGUCCCCUCGCGGACGUUAUUUUUACAGCUCUGAGCAAAAAUUCAAAAUGAAUCAAAACUUUCAACAACGGAUCUCUUGGUUCUG
RNAcentral lists this unclassified non-coding RNA (244 nucleotides) under plant metagenome. Its description in RNAcentral is "partial contains small subunit ribosomal RNA, internal transcribed spacer 1, and 5.8S ribosomal RNA". The record is from RNAcentral.